GAGGGUAUAGCUCAGUGAUACAGCGUGUGCUUAGCAUGCACAAGGCCGUGGGUUCAAUCCCUGGAACCUCC
This 71-nucleotide transfer RNA is filed under the name Camelus bactrianus (Bactrian camel). It matches the Rfam family "tRNA". Rfam says of the family: Transfer RNA (tRNA) molecules are approximately 80 nucleotides in length. RNAcentral also lists the same sequence under 2 other names. The record is from Rfam by way of RNAcentral. Lineage: Eukaryota; Metazoa; Chordata; Mammalia; Artiodactyla; Camelidae.